Molecule: ribosomal RNA, 253 nt
Filed under: uncultured bacterium
Lineage: Bacteria
Description: partial 16S ribosomal RNA
Rfam family: Bacterial small subunit ribosomal RNA
Source: RNAcentral
UACGAGAGGUCCAAACGUUAUUCGGAAUCACUGGGCGUAAAGGGAGCGUAGGCGGGUUUUUAAGUCAGGUGUUUAAUCCCGGGGCCCAACCCCGGACAGGCACUUGAAACUGGGAAUCUUGAAUAGUGGAGAGGUCAGUGGAAUUGGGGGUGUAGCGGUGGAAUGCGUAGAGAUCCCCAAGAACACCCGUUGCGAAGGCGGCUGACUGGACACAUAUUGACGCUGAGGCUCGAAAGCAUGGGGAGCAAACAGG